RNAcentral lists this long non-coding RNA (22601 nucleotides) under Capsicum annuum. Its description in RNAcentral is "long non-coding RNA (CANN_LNC003584)". The record is from RNAcentral. Lineage: Eukaryota; Viridiplantae; Streptophyta; Magnoliopsida; Solanales; Solanaceae.
CUACUCUUUUUCUUUAUUCUUUGUUAUUUCAAACACGUUAUCAACAUUUUUUGUUAUUUCAUAACACGUUAUCAGUAUUCUUUGUUAUUUCAUAACACAUUAUCAGCACGAUACUCUACUAUAUUGAGUAUAUGCUUUAAAAUAUUGAAGCAGUUUGAAACUUCAAUCAUCAGCCGAAUCAAGGUGAAAUUAUAAUUGUCAAAAUAAUCUCAAGGUGAGUAUGGAAUUUGAUAUAAUCAAAUUCAAUUUACACCAAAUAUAUAAUUGUUAUAAACUCUUAGAUUUUGGUACUUUAAGUACGGUUGUGAAUCUCUAUGUAACAUUGAGUAGCAGGUAUGUUUAAGGUUGUAAUUAAUUUUGAAAUUUACUUUCUCACAAAAAAAAAAAAGAAAUUGCUCUACAGUAAAUUACCUUAAGAGUAAUUACUUUUUUAUAAUUAGUAUUACGUUCUUGCAUGUUAAUAUUGAAUUUAAGAAAUACAAGUGGAGCCACUGAAAUAUGUGCUUGAUUAUCAUAUUGUAUCCCUAGAAUAUGAUAUAAAGGAUCCUAUAUUAAUUUUAUUUAUAUGUGAAUAGCAUGUAUUUGCUAACUAGAUCUAAAAUUUUAUGGCUGUGAUUUUAUUUUUAUGUAGUAUUAUAUCCAUUAUCAUUAGAUAAAUAUCAUAAAGAUCAAAUUUGUAUAUGCCUAAAAUAAUCACAGAGUAGUGAUAUUAUUAUAGGCUCAAAUUUAUAUUUUAUUAUACGUUAUUAUUUAUGUUAUUGGUUGAAGAAAAGAUGAUUGAUUCAAAUCCUAAAAUACCAAAAGAAUAAGAUAUUGGAUUAGAGUUCCAAUGCAACAUGAUAAAAUAUUGGGUUCAAAUCUAAUCGAUGUACGUCUAAGACGCCUUUAUAUGAAUAAGACGUUGUGUUUAAAUCUCAAUGCACCAUAUUGAUGAUAUCAUGAUGGCUAAGGCAAAAUAAUGCGUAUUUCAUGAAAAGUGAUGAAACAUGUCCUAUUGAAAUAUGUUCCAUUCCUGAAAUGAAUGUGGUAGCAGUGCAUAACAUGUCUGAAUGAACACAAGUGGUUGAAUAGAUGCACAUAAACGUGGAAAGGGACAAAAUAAUAAUAUUUUUCACAUGUUUGCAUGCCUUGAUCUUAAAAGAGACUAUAAGCUAUCAUAAUUUGAUAGACUUAAGACACGAUUAUAUUCCAAACCUGGAGAAUGAGAAUCUUAUUAAUGCAAACGUGCAUUUUAUUGUGAUGGUAUCAUAACUCACCUCCGAAUGAGGCAUAAUAACUGAGAAGUGUAAUAGUAAAUUUGAAAAAUUUACUAAAGAAAAAAUACAUGUCAUGGUAAACUUGUGUUUACUACUGUAAAUAAGUUCAUAAGUUGAUAUGAACGAGUGUGACAUCUCGAAGAUGUGCAUAUUGAGUAUUAGACAUGUAUUGAAGAAUUAAAAGAUUCUUCAAGAAUUGUUUAUAUCUCUUGUUCUCAUGAUAAGUUGGUUAGACCAACUAAUAUUGGGAUUUGAUCCCUUAAAAUUCGAAAAGUUAAAAGGUGAAAAGGGCUCGUUCACCUAUUAUGUGAUAUGUUUUGAAAAGAUGCAUCAAUAAGAUGAUCAUAUGUAUAUUUAUUGUGAACCUGCAGUUUGACAUUCAUAAAGUUGUUUACUUAAUGAAAUUGAGUUAAGAGCAUUAUUUUCUGACUGUGCAAUCAAGACAAUCCAUCUUGAUGAAAAUGGGUUGGCAUUUAAUGUCUUCAAUAAAUAGUUAAACCAUUGUUAAUGAGAACAAAACUUCAUGUUGUUGGUCUGAAAUAUGAUUAGGACUUAUAUGCAUUAGACCAAUAAAUUAUGAUUAUUUCCUUCCUCUCAAUUGGUUCAAGGUCAGGAACCAACUAUUCUAUCUACUAGUUUUGAUAUGCGGUAUACAAUUAAUAAAUAUACCAUGAUACAUAAAAAUAGAUUCCUCAAAGAAGAUGGAGGAUGUAUGUUAGUUUUCCUAACAUGACGGGGGAGAUUAUAAGCAGCUCUGAAAUAUGCUAGGAAUUAUCAUCAGAUCCACAUUCAAAAGAUAAUUCAAGUCAUAUGUCGAAAACAUUUACUGACUCAAAUUUAAUCUCAUAUCUAAGCUGCAAGUGCUCCUAUUUUGUGUUCAUAAAGGACAAAAUCUACGCAUGUGUGAAGUGUGGUAGACCAAUCGAUUCCAAAUAAAAUAAUCCUCGAAAAGGAUAAGGAGUAAAUGGUCAUAAUAAGAAGACAAUGUGCUCUUGAAAGAGCCUAGGACAUAACACUUCAUGAAACCUUAUGAGAGGUUCAGGUACUUGAAAAUAAUGAAGUAAUGAGAUCUCAAAAUGUUAUGUCACACUGUGAACCAAUACGAAAUGAUAUAUCAUCAAUGAUAUCUUUGAUAUAAUAUUGAUGCAAUAUUGUAAAAGAUUACGAGGAUACGGAUUCUAUGUUUAUUUAAGCAUGCUGACGUAGAAACAUUUAUCAAGUGACCUAAAAUGAUGCAUUUUGGUAAGCGUAAACCUUAUUUGAUUUGCAGUCGAGACACUUGAAGAUGUCACACUUGACAUGUUGGAUAUUGUCACUCAAUAAAAAUCCAUAUGAAAAUCCCUAGAGGAUUCAAAAUGCCGAAAGCAUAUAAAGUUUAUGGGAAACUUUUUAUUAUCCUAAUAAGAGAUAAUUUGAUGAUCUGAGUAUCAGUGGAACUCUUGGAGAGUUUUCAAGGUAAUAGAAAUAUUUGCUCAAAUGAGAAAUAUGGAAAAUUGAAUACGGAUCCAUUCCGACCUCAAGAAAAGAAUGAGGAACUCCUUGGUUAUGAAGUGUCAUAUCUUAGUGCAAUUGAUGCACUAAUGUAUAUUGCAAAUACUGCAAGACUUGAUAUAACCCUUUUCAAUUAAUUUGUUAGCAAGUUUGCAGUCUUGAUCUUAUUGGUCAUGUUGAUGUUCGGUACUUAUCUGACCUAUAUAAAGUUUGGUCUCAAAUAGGCUAUGUGUUCAUAUGUGGUGGUACAACAAUGUCUUGGAGAUAUACAAAACAGUUUAUCGUAGCCACUUCAUCGAACCAUGCUGAGAUAAUAGUUAUUCAUGAAGCAAGUCGAGAAUGUGUAUGGUUGAGGCAUGAUAUAUCUUUUUUUCCUUCACUAUUUUUUUUUCCUUCACUAAAUUUUUUUUUCCACUGAAUUUUUUCUAAUAAGGUUUUAACGAGGCACAUUAUCUAUCAAUUAAACAUUCAAGGGGAGUAUUAUAAAUGUAUUUACAUUAUAGAAUAUCUAUCAAGAAUAUAGAUAAGAUUUAUCAAGAUCUAAAUGAUAUCUAUCAGGAUUUGAAUUAUCUAUCUUUUAAUGAGAUUUGAAUUAUCUGUCUUUUAGUGAGAAACUAGGAGUAAAUUUCUCCUAUAAAUAGAGGGGUUUUAUUCUCUCAUUCUCAAGAGAAAUAAAGAUGUCUCCUAUCUUUUCUCUAUAUGUAUCUACUCUUCUUCUUUAUUCUUUGUUAUUUCAUAAUACGUUAUUAGCAUUCUUUGUUAUUUCACAACUUUUAUUGUUUCCUUAACAAUGGAAAUUUGGAGCCAUUAAUUCUGAUGAUUUCUAAUAAGGAAAAGUUUUAUCAUAAAUAUAUUUUAAUUUUUAACUCUUAAAUAUUAAAAAAAAUAGUGAAAAAAUAAUUUUAUUUAAAACAAAGACUUUUAAUGGAGGAUAAAAAGUUCAAACAAUAUUUAUUAGGUCGUUCACACUUUUAAUAUAUUACUAUUAUUAUUAUUAUUAUUAUUAUUAUUAUUUGCCUGAUUACUAAGUAUUUUCUACCCUUCUACUUCAUAAAUAAUAAAUUUAUAGGUUUACAAUAUUAAUUAAAAUGCAAAAAGAAAAUCACAAAUAAUUAAAAAGAUGAAUGAAUUUAGAUAUGAUGUAAAACCCUACUACCACAUUGACCCGACCCGUUUUUCCUACCACGGGAUCGCUUAAACCCCUACCGCCAACCCAUUCUUUCUCUCUUUCAGCUUACUUUGAAGCUAAACUGUAGGCACAUUAACGUCCAUUUGUAAAAAUAUUUUAGCUUUUUACGCUGAAUAUUGGCAGCUGCAGCACAACAAUGUAAGAAUUGUUGUUUUUUUUUCUUUGUACUAAAUUUGAAUUUGAUGAUUUCCCAGAAUUAAGUUUUUUUGAGUGUCUGAUUGAUUUGUAAAUGCAAUGAAUUGAGUUUUCUUGUUCUGGUUUGUAAGGAUUAAUGUUUGGUUGGUUUAUUUAUUCAAUUUGAAUAAUACCCAGAAUGGAGUUUUGUGUAUCUAGUUUUUUUGGAAUGCGAAAAUUUUAGUUUUUUUCUUGGUGGAUUGUAGGAAUUAUUGAUUAUUGUGGUUUAAGUUUGAAUUUUUAUUACACCCAGAACUGAGUUUUGAGUUUCUGGUUGAUUUGUGAAUGCAAAGUCUUGAAUUUUCCUGUUCAGGUUGUAAGGAUUAAUGUUUGUUUUGGUUUUAUUUAUUUAUUUAUUUAUUUAUUCAAUUUGAGUAAUACCCAGAAUGGAGUUUUGUGUAUCUCGUUGUUUUGGAAUGCAAAAAUUUGAGUUUUUUCUUGGUGGGGUUGUAGGAAUUAUUGAUUAUCGUGGUUUAAGUUUGAAUUUAAAGGAUACUCAGAACUGAUUUUUGAGUUUCUGUUUGAUUUUGAUUGCAAAGAUUUUUUUUCUUUUUUUCUUUUUGGUGUUCUUGGAUAGUGUUAAAUGUUUAGUGUGUAUUUUUGUAUUGAAGGUCUCGUCUCUGUGUGAAGAAUUUGCCAAAGUAUGUAGCCGAGGACCGUCUCAGAGAAUUCUUCUCUCAGAAAGGGGAAGUCACCGACGCCAAGCUCAUGCGUACUUCGUUAAGUUUCUCUUCUCCUCUCUGCUCUACCUUUUUUUUUUUUUUUUUUAAAUAGUAAUGUGAGCUGUAGACAAACUCUGUGCCUGAGUCCAUAGUUUGUUGUACUGAUACGGGUCAAAAUGGAGGGAGCCAGCUAGAAAGCAUUCAUACAGUUAACCACAAUUAGUAAAGAACUUGUUGUUAAUGACUAAUGUACAGUAGCAUUUCAGUUUUUCAGUUUUUCAUCGGUGGUUUCAGCCAAUAAUUGAUUUUUUGACUGGUAUUCACGAAUUGCUAUUUGAUACUGUAGAGAUUUUUGGGUAUGUUCAUGAAUUUGAAAUUCAUUUGACAUCGACUGAUUGCCACUUUAAGCAGAGAUGGAAAGAGCAGGCAGUUUGGAUUUGUAGGAUUUCGAACGGAGCAAGAGGCUGAGGAAGCUAUCAAGUAUUUUGACAAGUCUUUCAUGGAUAAUAGUCGUAUUAUUUGUGAGGUAUGUUUUUUCUGCUUCAGUUACUAUGCUGUUCUGCUUGGGUGGUAUACCUAUUUAGCAGAAGACGAAAAAGCAUAUCUCUGUUCCAUAUUCCAUUAUUUUGAAAUUAGUCGAUAUAUACAUUUCAAAUUACUCCACCUGUCCUAUUUUAUGUGACAUACUUUCCUUUUUGGUUGUCCAAAAAAAAUGACAUCUUUGUAAUAAUUAGAAAUACUUUGACUUUAAUUUUUUAUUUUACUCUAUUAUAGCCUCAAAACUGGCAUGGUUUUUGUUAGACCACGAGCUCCAAAAAGAUUUCUUUCUUAAACUCCGUGUCAAGUCAAGCACCGCCAAAAUAGCUGGGACACAUAGUAUAAAAGAUGAUGCCUUUAUAAUUUUUCCAAGUAGCUAGUGAAAGUAUCCUUAUAUAAGUCCUGUUAACUUUAUUGCUUUAUUCUAAUUUACAUUGUGAAUUACUUGAAUCUUUAUUUUCAUGGGUUGUGGAUUAUUAUUUUUCUAGAGAGUAGCUAUAUAUUGGUGAUGUGCUUGAAUGAUAUGUGCGGGGGUGAGAGGUUGACUGGGGAUAGUUUCAGGAGAGGUAGAGGUAGGCUGAAGAAGUAUUAGCGGAGGUGAUUAGAGAAGAUAUGACACAGUUAAAGCUUACCGAGGAUCCGACCUUAGGUAGGAGGUUGUGGAGGAACACAACUUAGGGUAGAAGGCUAGAUAGAAGUAGAGCAUUGUCUCGCUUGUCCUCACAUAUGGUAGUCGUCGUAUUUCUCCGGUAGUUUCUUGUCCUUCAAUUUCUGUUACCAGCUACUGUCUCUUGUACUAUAAUUACCACAGUAUUUUAUUGUAGUAGCUAUUCCUUUUUCAAAAUGCUUUGCCAUGAUUUCUUCACUUUUCAUUAAUUUUUUCGAUUUGCUUUCAUAUGCUUUUUCUUGAGCCGAGGGUCUAUUGGAAACUCUCUACCUCCCAAAGUAGGGGUAAGGUCUGCAUGCACUCUAUCUUCCCUAGACCCCACUUGUGGGAUUACACUGGUUAUAUUGUUGUUUUGUUCUUGUGCUUGAAUGACACAUAAAUUCAUUUUCAUAUAGCCAGAUUGCAAGGAAAAUUGGGGAUCCAAAUAUCCCUCGUCCAUGGAGCAGGCACACUUUGAAGAAACAAGAGAAAUUGACAAAUGAGGAUGAGAAUGCAAAAGUAAACAAAAGUUCCAAGUCUGCAGGUUUAAAAGGGGACAAAAAGAAUAGUAAACAGGAGAGUAAGGAUGAGGAUCCUCAGCUUCAAGAGUUCCUUGAAGUUAUGCAGCCUCGGAGUAAGUCAAAGUUGUGGGCAAAUGAUACACUAGCAGCUCCAUCUCUUGCUCAAAGUAAAAAGGAUGGCCAUAAGCAAUCCCAGGCAAAAGAGACUAACCGGGAAAAAUUGGCUACUGAUAACUCUGAGUUAGAUGAGGUUAUUAAAAAAGAGGAAUCUCUGUCAGUUAAUGAAAAUUCUGAGAAACCUGACAGCUUCCAUAAUGAUGAAGUUAUGACCGAUACAGAUUAUUUCAAAAGUAGAGUGAGGAAAGAUUGGUCAGACUCAAAAAGUAGUGAAGACGAUGGUAGUGAUAAUGAAAGUGACACUGAAAGUGGCAAGAGCAAUGAAGAUGCAAAUACUGGUAAUAUCCUCAAACCUGAUGAUACAGAGGAAGUUUUGACUGAUGGGUUCACCAGAUCUAACAAUAAAUCGCUUGAGCCUGCUGACCCUUCAUCAAGUGUUAUGGAUGAAAAAGAAGAAGAUCUGGAGAGUGGACGAUUAUUUGUUCGUAAUCUUCCUUACACCACGACGUAAUACAUCUUUGUUCUUCUUUUUUCCUUUAUCCUUUUUUUUUCUGGGUGAUUUAGUUAACUCGAUAUGUUGACUUCAACAAACCUAAUGUAUGUUCUUGCCAAACAAAUGGUUUUAUGACUCAGGGAAGAGGAGCUGGAAGAACAUUUUAGAGCAUUUGGCAAUGUCUCACAGGUUCAUAUUGUUGUUGACAAAGAUACAAAGCGGUCCAAAGGAUUUGCAUAUGUUCUCUAUGCAUUACCAGAAUCUGCUGCUAGGUACCUGUCAAUCAGCAUCCAAAUUCUAAGCUACUGCACUUUUUACCUGCAAGAAGCACACUGAUAUCCGUGUUAUAAAUUCUGAGUCCCUUGUAUACGUAUGUAUGUGUCUAUUUUUCAUGUUCCAGUGCUUCCUUGCAUUGCUUUUUGAUUGUUUCUUCCAGGGCAUUAGCGGAGCUGGACAGUUCAAUUUUUCAAGGACGAUUACUUCAUGUCAUGCCAGCUAAGCAGAAAAUUUCUCCAGAGAAGAUAGAGUAAGUGUUGUUUUACCACGCUUUUCAAUGUUCAUAUCCAUUAGAUUGUUUGCUUAUGCAUAUAUGUCGAGAGAAGCUCUCCUUUUUCUUUUUAAUAAUGUGGGAUCUACCUUGCUAUUAUAAGAUUGGUUCAUUUAUUACUCUGUAGGACAGUUGAUAAUACCAAGCAAUUUUCAAAAACAUUUAAGCAGCAGAGACUACAGGAAAAGAAGGCAUCUGAAGCUAGUGGAAAUACACAAUCUUGGAAUACUCUUUUCAUGCGGCCAGACACCGUAUGUACACUAUCGAAUGUUAUAAUUUAGAAUAUUUUUUCUUACUAUUAUGAGGGUUGGUUCUGUCAUUUUAGAAUUUUAAUCUAUGUUUUGCUAAGACACACAUUCUUAUCCACAUUCUGCGCCACAUAAAAUAAUACAGAAAUUUAUGCAUAAACUCUACAUGGAUUAUUUAUGAGGAAAACGAUAACUAACAUCUGAACAUUGUACAAUUUAAUAUGGAUUUUUAUGUGAAGCUUAAAUUUCCUCAAUCCCAACCAAACAUGGUACAAAUUAACUUUGGGAUUUUUUCUUCCGGGGGGUGGGGGUGGGGGUGGCUUUGUACAUCAACUUUUACAGCCCCUUGAUGCUUGCUGUAAUAGACUGGGUUUAUCUUUUUUUACAUUUGAUCUGAUUUGAGUUAUUUUUGUUCCUAUAUUAUGCUUCUUGUAAGAUGAUUUGGUUGUUCAAAUCUUUGUAGCUAUCCUAACUUGUAUAAUCAGUUUUUGAAAUGCUUCAGGAUCUUUAAUUACUGCCCGUUUGGGUUGAGUAUGCAUUCUACUGUGUCAGCGUUUGGACUUGUUCUUGAAAGUAAAAAUGAGCUCCUUCUGUUCUUUGAAAUUUUUUAGGUUGUCGAGAAUAUUGCAAGAAAAUUUGGUGUUAGUAAAAGUGUUCUUCUUGAUAGAGAAGCUGAUGAUCUUGCCGUACGUAUAGCAUUGGGUGAGACUCAAGUGAUAGCAGAGACGAAAAAGGCUCUUGCAAAAGCUGGGGUUAAUAUUGCUUCACUGGAAGACUACGCUGCUGGAAAAACUGAUGGAGUGAAACGAAGCAAUCACGUUAUUCUAGUUAAGAACUUGCCCUAUGGUUCGUCAGAAGGUGAACUUGCGAAUAUGUUUGGGAAGUUCGGGAGUCUGGAUAAGAUUAUUCUUCCUCCCACCCAAACCUUAGCUUUGGUUUGUGCUUUUAUCUUUGAAGCCUUUGGUUUGAAAUGACUAUUCUUGUAACUAUAAUUGUUCUUUAUGUGCUUUGUGACUUUUCCGUACAAUAGGGUGUUCUGAUUUGAUACUAAUAGACCAAGUUUCUGUUUGUGUAAAUAGACAUGAAUUAGUUGGAAAUAACAAGAUUGUUUGCUGCUUCUGUGAUUAUUACAAUCAGGUUGUCUUCCUAGAACCGGCAGAAGCACGCACAGCUUUUCGGGGCCUAGCAUACAAACGUUACAAGUAAGUGUAUAUAUCCGUUUCUUGCUUUUGAUACAGCGGUGAUUUUUGUAGUUGAACAAGUAGCUGUAUAUGUAAAGACAAUUUCAUGUCAUGACUGAUAACUAAGCAAGAUUGGAAUAGCUUUAGAAUUGGGAUAACACAUAAAUACUCUCCUCAACUUAUUGUGAAUAUUCAUCUAUACUUUUUAACUUUGCUAGUGCCCUAUUACACCCAACCCCCAAGGGGCCUUUUUGAAGUUGAGUAACUACCAGAUUUGUGUUGGGUGUUGAAAUAACACCACUUACUCCAUAUACUUUGAAGUUGAGUAACUUUGCUAGUGCACUCACCACUUAAUUUUUGUUCACCUUUUUUUUCCAUAUACUUUGGUUAUUUCUUCCUCCACCUUUGUUCAAAUGCAUUAAGCGGACUCUCCCCCAAUCUAAACUUUGCGCCUUCCUCUCACUCCUACUCCAAUAAUUCCUUGUCAAUGAUUAGUGAUGUCGCCCUGUAUUCUCGAAACAAGGUGCAUUUUAUGUUACCUCGGAUCCUGUUAGUGAGAGAAGACUCAAAAUUAGAGGGAAGCCAUGGAAAGAGAAGGGAAUUCCAUUUUUUUUUACUUUGCUUUAGAGAAUUGAGAAACCUUCCAAUUUUUUAUUUUGCAAGAUUGAGGUUUCUCCUAGCUUGCUUUGUUCUUUCUAGCACAUAUCAGUUUUGCUGCAUCUCAUAUGCAAUAUAUUUUGAUUCAGUCUUGAAAGUUUGGAAUUAUGAAGUAAAUUUUGUCCCUUUGUCCUGAUGCAGAGACACUCCCCUUUAUUUGGAGUGGGCUCCUGGGAAUAUUCUUGAUCAAACGAGUGAUUCCAAAAAUGAUUUUAUUGUUGGUGAAGAUGAUGUAAAGAGAGUGCUCCUGGAGCAACAAGUGGAAGGAAUAGCAGAUCCAGAUGUUGAUCCUGAUAGAGUGGAGGUAUAUAAACUGUAAAACCCAUGUUUCCCAUCUUUAUAUAGAAUGUACUUUGGUGCUAAGUCCCUACUGUUGUAUGAGUCUACUUGCGAGCUGUUUAUAUCUACCUGUAUUGUAUAGACUAAUACCUAGCUAAGUUUGUCCUCGUCAAUCUUUGCUUGUGGAUUAUUUUUCUGUUCAUCUCCAUUUGCCAGCAACCGCAAAUGAAGCUUUGUUGAGGUUGGCACUUCCAUUUGAUCAAUAGUCUAUUAUUAUAUGCACUUCUGUCGCCCUGACAUGUGUCCCACCAUAUGACACAAAGUUUCACUUUAUGAAUGCCAUUUUAGGAGUCUGUCAUGUUGGUACAUUUACUUUAGGUUCAAUGUUUGUUAGGUACAUUUACUUUAGGUUCAAUGUUUGUUAGGAGUCUUUUAGUUUCGAUACAGAUGCUAGUAGAAAAUGUAAAGAAUCUCUAGUGCUAGAGAAACCAGAUCAAAAUCGUAGAGAGACGAGCUUGAGUGGAGUGGCAUCUAGCAUGUGUUGAGGACUCAUACAACUGACCCAACUAGCAUGAGGUUGAGGCGUACUUUUUGUUUUUGUCGAACACAAAAAUGUGGAAGAUAUUACAAAUUUAAGUGGUUUUGUUUUUGUUGAACACAAAAUGUGGAAGAUAUUACACAAAAUGAGGAGUGGCAUCUAGCAUGUGUUGAGGACUCAUACAACUGACCCAACUAGCAUGAGAUUGAGGCGUACUUUUUGUUUUUGUCGAACACAAAAAUGUGGAAGAUAUUACAAAUUUAAGUGGUUUUGCUUUUAUUGAACACAGAAUGUGGAAGAUAUUACAAAUUCUUAAACGAACUCUUACAUUUGAUUGAUACUGGUAACGUACUGGUAUAUAUAAAGUCACAUUUUCAGAGAAAUGAAGAAACCCGGCUAUGCAAAAAUCAAAUUUACAGACAGCCUAUCAAAUCGAUUAGAGAAUCUGUUUCCUCUAGUAGUAUGUAAGACUUUUUUGAGAAUUUCUACUAGUAUGUAAGACUCAAACUUAAGUCUACAUAUUUAUUCAAGUUUUUAGUUUGCUGGAAAUUAACUGUGGCCUGCAUAUGAUAGGUCCCCAGAAAAUCAGAAAUAAAUAAUUCUCAAAUAUGAACUGUACUCUUGUUGUUGUUGUUGUUGUUGUUGAACUGUACUCUUGGUAGCAGCAGACUAUUGAAUACACAUGGUCACAUGACAUGCUGGUUCAGCUGCUCCACUAUUGCCAAAAAAUCAUGCUACCUGUACCAAAAACCAAAAGAAUUCAGUUAUUGGAAAUAAGUAUAUAGUGAAGAACAUUGCAGUUAUAGAAAUUCCUUGUUACUUCUUUGUUUGUUCUUAUAACUGCCUUGAUUUCUCAGGUUUGUUUCUUGUUUCAUUAACCAAUUGAUAUUCUUGUUGUCACCUUUCCAGUCACGAUCACUGUAUGUCAAGAACCUAAAUUUCAAGACAUCAGAUGAGAGUUUAAAGAAACAUUUCACUGAUCACAUAAAGGAUGGGCGAAUAUUAAGUGUGAGGGUAAGUUCUUGUGGCUCUUUUUUAUGCUGAGACGCCAAGUAUUUAGCAUAGUAUUUCCUUUGUGCUACAUGAAAAAAUAACUAGUCUUCCUCCAACACCUGUUAAUAUUAUUCUGUGAAGGUGAAAAAGCAUGUAAAGAAUGGAAAAACUGUCUCGAUGGGUUUUGGAUUCAUUGAGUUUGAUUCUGCUGAUACAGCAAUCAAUGUUUGUAAGGAUUUGCAGGUAAUCAGUCUGAUUUUUGUUUUAACAUUUUGUCCAUACAUUCGGGCUCCUACAAAUAGCGUUUCAUCUUCCCCUCUUCUUGUCAUUCAGGGAACUGUUUUGGAUGGGCAUGCACUUAUAAUGCAACUUUGCCACACUAAGAAGGAUGAUCAACUACCAAAGAAAGCUGAGAAUGAUAAGAGUUCGACUAAGUUGCUUGUUAGGAAUGUUGCUUUUGAGGCAACUGAAAAGGAUCUCAGGCAACUAUUCAGUCCAUUUGGGCAGGUACUUCCUCUGAAGUGUUGUUAAUGUAGGGUGAUACUAAGUAGUAGAAAAUAAUACUAGGUUUUCCUGUGUUGGGAAGUGGCAAAGCUAGAAGUUAAUUGAGGAUAAGUAUGUCUGUGGGCACGAGGAUGCAUUAUAUCCUGUGCAUUUCCAUUGAGUCCAUAUGAGAGACAUUUAUCCAUAUGUAAGUGGGCAUGUAGAAUUCUCUCCGAUUUGUAAUGCUUUUGUUCAAAAUUCCAGGUCUAGUGGAAUGUGUCAUGAAAUUUAUUAGUGUGAAAAAUGUUGAUAUAGACAAAAUGAUGCGUGGUAAUUGGCAGAUGAUCUAGCCACUAGAAGCUAGGGCUAGAAAAAAAAAAAAACAUUAUGAUGGUUACUUGAAAGUCUGACAUAUAUGUUAUUUUUGACCUGCAUUCAUCAUGUUUCACAUAGCGACUUAUUUCAAUGUCCUUUCCGUUGACCUCAAAAUUAAAUUCAUCCUACAGAUUAAGAGUUUAAGGCUGCCAAUGAGGUUUGGGAACCAUAGAGGAUUUGCAUUUGUAGAGUUCGUCACUAAACAAGAGGCAAAGAAUGCCAUGGAAGCUCUAUCCAAUUCUCACUUGUAUGGGCGCCAUUUGGUAUGUGAUCUUGCAAUUCUCAUAGUAUAUAUCUACUACCUAAAUAUCACCAAGUAAUAUGUUGUGGUGCAUGUUACAUCUCAGGUUCUUGAGAGAGCCAAGGAAGGUGAGAGCUUAGAGGAAUUACGCGCUCGCACAGCUGCUCAGUUUAGUACUGAGCAAAAUGGGUUUCAAACUACUAAAUUAUCAAAGAAGAGAAAACAAAUGGCUAUAUUGGAUGAAGGGAGUUUUAAAUUCGAGCGAAUUGCUGAUUAAAUACUUCACAACUCCCUUCAAAUCCCCAAUUCACUUGUCCUGUAUAGGUUAAAGCUACUAAUUCUGCAGUAUUUAUAGCCCAAUAGUACUAAGAUGAGAGCUUGUUUAAUCAAUUUUGUUCAUUAAUGUAAUGUCUUGACAUCCUCUUCGGUUUGUAUUGUAGAUCAUGAAAAGUUUGCUGUCAGUUUGUGACAAAAAAAUAUCAAAGUAGUAGGUAAACAAAGUUUGAUCCUUUGGGAUGUUUCUUAUGGAUUACUUUAAUAAUGAAGAUAGCAUUCUUGUCACAGGGGGGUAAUGUAGAAAUGCUAUUUCUUAUCCACCAUAACCAAAAGAAAAAACUUAAAUCAUCUCGAGUUUAGAAGGUGAAUUUCUUGGUUAGAAAAAGAAGGGCAACAAAGGGUCGAUUUAAAAGGAAAAAAAAAAAACAGAGUGGCCAGUGUGAAAACAUGGACAAUUUUUUAAUUUGAGUCAAAAAAAUUUCCUGCAUUAUUAGAAUGACAAAGAAAAUAAGAAAAAAAAGUGGAAGGAAAUGAAGGAGGACGGCAAACAGGCGUUGACGUCCUAGUUUUAAAUACUUACAUAAAUUUUAAGUGAUAUAUCUCAAAGAAUGUGAUGUAUUCUUGUUGAAUUUUUUAGAAUUUUAAAAGACGUUGGAAUAGGAAGUAAUUAACAUCAAAAGAAUUGAGAUUUGCGUAACUUUUACAUUAUUUAUUCUGCUCUAGAAAAGUGCAAGGAAAUGAAGGAAAAUUUAGCGUCUUUAGAAAAUUCUCCAUCUUUAGCAAAAUAAGAACAAAAAUUUGCGUACAUUUUAUCUUUUCUAAAUUUCAUCUAUACGUGUUGACAGUUUGAUAACAUUUUCUUUUCUUGUUAAAAUAGUUCCUUCUUUUGGUCGUGACAUGCGCAAUUGGAAAAGAAAAAAGAAUCAAGUAAAUUGGUAAUAACGACAUUGCAGAAAUUUACCUCAAAAAAAAAAAAAAUUAUUGUCCCCUUUAAACUAUAUAUCAUCGAUCACUAUCAUUAUUCAUCAUUAUAUAAUCACCAAUCAGCACUAUAUAUUAUAAACUAUCGUCAUCAUUCACCAUCACUAUAAGCUAUUACUAUCAUCCACCACAACUAUCAGUCAUUGUGACAAGGAGUAACCAUCAAUCACUACUCUCACAACUAUCAUCACCAAUAGCUACACCCUUAACACCACUAUUUGCCAAUAUAUCUUCAAUCGACACCCACAAUCACUAUCGCUAGCCAUCACUAUCAUCAACAGUCAUAUAAUGUUUAUAGUAAAUUAAUUUAAUUUUUUUUAUUAAAUUUUACUUUAUAAUAGAAGCGGCAAUCUUGACCAUUUUAGAGUCGUCCUGGCUGCUUCAGCUGCUUCAAGCGUAAUUUUACUAUAUCACCCCUAAUUAAUUAUUAUAAAUUAUUUCAUUUAAGUAUUAUAAUAUUAAUAAUAUUUAAUAAAAGAAUAGUUUUCAAAAUGACUACUAAAUUCCUCAAAGUUCCAUUUAUUAUUAUUCGAGAAUUUUUUUUAGCUGUUUCAAUCGUAAUUUUAAUGUAUCACCUCUAAUUAAUUAUUAUAAGCCAUUUACGUAUUAAAAAUUAAUAAUAUUUAAUAUAAAAAUAAAACAAACAUUUUUUACAUGUCUGCUUCAGUUGGUUCGACAUAAUUUUACUAUAUCACCUCUAAUUACUCAUUAUGAGUCAUCUAAGUAUUAAAAAAUAAUGUUAAAAAAUUAUUAUAAAAUCAUCUAAGUUUUAAAAAACUAAUAAUAUAAAAAAAUAUUAAUCUGCCAAAUAUUUUUCAAAAAUAGGUAAGAAAUACUAUACAUCACAAUAAUUAGCAACUAGAAAGUUUAGAGUCAAUUUACUUUCUUUGGCACAUCUUCAUUGGUCCUUUCCUUUGCCUUCAUUUUUUCAUCUAUUUUAAUUUGUUAUAUAUUUUUUAAAAAAAAACUUGUAAAUCACAAUAAUUAAUAAAUUAAAAAUUAAAAACAUAUAAAUAUUUGACUGACUUUCAAAAUUAUAUCAUUGCUACUUAAAUUGGAAUAGAAGAAAAAAUACUAUAGAUCACAGUAAUUAAAAACUUAAAUUAUUUAUAAAAUAUAAUUGACUAUCAAUAGUACAAAAUUUUAAACAAGGAGUGUAACAUAUAUUAUUUAAAAUUUACAUAAAACUUAUUAUAAAUUACAAUAUUUAACAAAUUAAAAUAUCUAAAAAAAAUUAUUAUAUAUUUUAAAAAAUACAUAAAAGUGCUAUAGAUCAUAAUAAUUAACAAAUUUAAGACAUAUAAAAUAUUUGAUUGACUUUUGUUCAAUUAUAAAAAAAUAAGCACUUUGAUGAAGAUUUAUAGUAUCAUUCAAGUAAAUACAGAUUAAGAUCGUAGAAACAUGAGCUAGUGAUAUAGCUACACCUAAUUCCAGACCGGUUAAUGCAAGAACUAUAAAUAAAGGACCAAGAUCCCCUAUGAAAUAUAAUUGAAUAUCAACGCCACAAAAGUUAGGACAAGGAGAGUAACAUGUAUUUUUUGAAAAUCAUAUAAAAAACAUUACAAAUUACAAUUGUUGACAAUUUAAAGUAUUUUUUUAAUUUUUUUUUAUAUAUUUUUAAAAAAUACUCAAAAAGAUACUACAAAUCAUAAUAAUUAAUAAUUUUAAAAAUUGUAAGGAUAUAAAUAUUUGGUUGACUAUAGAAAUUAUAUCAGUGCUACUUAAUUUGAAAUUAAAAAAGAUUAUAAAUCUCAAUAAUUUUAAAAGUUAAAUUAUUUUUAAAGUAUAAUUGGCUAUCGAUGCUACAAAAGUUUGAAUAAGGAGAGUAACAUGUAUUAUUUAAAAAUUACAUAAAAAAAUAUUAUAAAUUACGAUAAUUAACAAUUUAGAAUAUUCAAAGCAUACUAAAGAUAUGAUUGAUUAUCUAUAUUUUAUUUAUGUCACAUAAAUUGAGACUAAAAAAUAAUAUAUAUUGGGCCCGUGCCAACCUAUUUAAAUAAAUUUAUAUAUUCAAAUAUUGAAAAAUAAAUAACUUUAAUUAUUUAAUAUUCAUAUCUUAAUUACUUAGUAUUCUGGUAAAAUAUGUGUUACCACCAAACAAAUCUCAUCAUUUUGUGACUUAAUCUAUAAUAUAUUAAAAGUGUGAAGCCCGUUAAAAAGUGAUUUGAAUUUUUUAUCCUUCAUUAAAACACUAUACAAUAGACAAAAUCAUCUUUUCACUAUUUUCCUUAAUUUAUUAUUUAAUUAAAUUUUUAUUUUUUAAAGUCAAGAAAUCCUAAAUUAUACGGUAAAAGAAAAAUAUAUAGAGAAUUAAUAUUGGUAAAUUUUUUAUUUCCUUCUAUAUGUAAAAAAAGAGUCUUGAAAUAUUUGGUAGAAAAAAGAUCCUAAAAUAUAUAAUAAAGAGAAUAAGAAAAGAUUUAAUAGUAGAAAACUUUAAGUAAAAAAGAAAAAUAAAAUCUCACCUAAAGUUUUAGAAAAACCAUUAUACGUUUUCUUUUAAUGUUAUGAUUUUAAUUCCUUUAAGUAAAAAGGAAAAAUAAAAUGUCAACUAAAGUUUUAAAAAAACUAUUGUACGUUUUCUUUUAACGUUAUUAUUUUAAUUUCAAACUAUAUAUAUAUAUAUAUAUAUUUCUUUUCUAUAUAAUAGAAACACUAAUUUUGACCAAUGCUUCAUCAAUUGCUAUACUACCCCAAAUUAUUUCAGAAUUUACUAUAUUACUCCUAAUUAAUUAUUAUAAUUCAUUUAAAUAUUAGAAUUAAUAAUAUUUUUUUAUUAUAUUAUCCCUAAUUAAUUAUUGUAAGUCAUUUAUAUAUUAUAAUUAAUGAUAUUUAAUUAAAAAAUAGACAUUUAUGACUUUUGUUUCAGCUGCUUUAACUGUGAUUUUACUUUAUCAUCCCCAAUUAAUUAUUAUAAGUCAUUUAUGUAUUAAAAAAUUAAUAAUAUUUAAUUAAAAAAUUAGAUGACAUGUCUACCUAUAUUACCUCUAAUUGCCCCGUAAUUUAUUAUAUUACCCCUAAUUAAUUAUUAUAAGAAAUUUAUAUAUUAGAAUUAAUUAAUUAUUAUAAGUCAUUGAUAUAUUAAAAUUAAUAAUAUUUAAUUAAAAAAAUAUUUAUAACGUUUGUUUCAGCUCCUUUAAUCGUGAUUUUACUAUAUCAUUCUUAAUUAAUUAUUAUAUGUCAUUUAUGUAUUUAAAAAUUAAUAAUAUUUAAUUAAAAAAUAGAAGUUUAUGAUGUUUGUUUCAACAUCUUUAACCGUAAUUUUACUGUAUCAUCCCUAAUUAAUUAUUAUAAGUCAUUGAUAUAUUAAAAUUAAUAAUAUUUAAUUAAAAAAUAGAAGUUUAUGAUGUUUGUUUCAACAUCUUUAACCGUAAUUUUACUGUAUCAUCCCUAAUUAAUUAUUAUAAGUCAUUGAUAUAUUAAAAUUAAUAAUAUUUAAUUAAAAAAUAGAAGUUUAUGAUGUUUGUUUCAACAUCUUUAACCGUAAUUUUACUGUAUCAUCCCUAAUUAAUUAUUAUAAGUCAUUGAUAUAUUAAAAUUAAUAAUAUUUAAUUAAAAAAUAGAAGUUUAUGAUGUUUGUUUCAACAUCUUUAACCGUAAUUUUACUGUAUCAUCCCUAAUUAAUUAUUAUAAGUCAUUGAUAUAUUAAAAUUAAUAAUAUUUAAUUAAAAAAUAGAAGUUUAUGAUGUUUGUUUCAACAUCUUUAACCGUAAUUUUACUGUAUCAUCCCUAAUUAAUUAUUAUAAGUCAUUGAUAUAUUAAAAUUAAUAAUAUUUAAUUAAAAAAUAGAAGUUUAUGAUGUUUGUUUCAACAUCUUUAACCGUAAUUUUACUGUAUCAUCCCUAAUUAAUUAUUAUAAGUCAUUGAUAUAUUAAAAUUAAUAAUAUUUAAUUAAAAAAUAGAAGUUUAUGAUGUUUGUUUCAACAUCUUUAACCGUAAUUUUACUGUAUCAUCCCUAAUUAAUUAUUAUAAGUCAUUGAUAUAUUAAAAUUAAUAAUAUUUAAUUAAAAAAUAGAAGUUUAUGAUGUUUGUUUCAACAUCUUUAACCGUAAUUUUACUGUAUCAUCCCUAAUUAAUUAUUAUAAGUCAUUGAUAUAUUAAAAUUAAUAAUAUUUAAUUAAAAAAUAGAAGUUUAUGAUGUUUGUUUCAACAUCUUUAACCGUAAUUUUACUGUAUCAUCCCUAAUUAAUUAUUAUAAGUCAUUGAUAUAUUAAAAUUAAUAAUAUUUAAUUAAAAAAUAGAAGUUUAUGAUGUUUGUUUCAACAUCUUUAACCGUAAUUUUACUGUAUCAUCCCUAAUUAAUUAUUAUAAGUCAUUUAUAUAUUAGAAUUAAUAAUAUUUAAUUAAAAAAUAGAAGUUUAUGAUGUUUGUUUCAACAUCUUUAACCGUAAUUUUACUGUAUCAUCCCUAAUUAAUUAUUAUAAGUUAUUUAUAUAUUAAAAAUUAAUAAUAUUUAAUUAAAAAAAUCAGCUGCUUUGUCAUUUACUAUAUUAACCUAAUUGCUCGGUGAUUUAUUAUAUUACCCCUAAUUAAUUACUAUAAGUCAUUUAUUUAUUAGAAAUUAAUAAUGUUUUUUUUAUUAUAUUACCCCUAAUUAAUUAUUAUAAGUCAUUUAUAUAUUAUAUUUAAUAAUAUUUAAUUAAAAAAUAUAUAUUUAUGACAUUUAUUUCAGCUGCUUUAACCAUGAUUUCACUAUAUCAUCCCUAAUUAAUUAUUCUAAGUUAUUUAUGUAUUAAAAAAUUAAUAAUAUUUAAUUAAAAAAUAGAUGAAAUGUCUGCCUAUAUUAUCCCUAAUUGCUCCGUGAUUUACUAUAUUACCCUAAAUUAAUUAUUAUAAGUCAUUUAAAGUUAUUUAUGUAUUAAAAAAUUAAUAAUAUUUAAUUAAAAAAAUAUAUGACAUGUCUGCCUAUAUUAUCCCUAAUUGCUACGUGAUUUACUAUAUUACCCUAAAAUAAUUAUUAUAAGUCAUUUAUAUAUUAGAAUUAAUAAUAUUUAAUUAAAAAUUGAUAUUUAUGACGUUUGUUUCAGCUGCUUUAACCGUGAUUUUACUAUAUCAUCCCUAACUAAUCAUUAUAAGUCAUUUAUGUAUUAAAAAAUUAAUAAUAUUUAAUUAAAAAAAUAGAUGACAUGUCUGCUGCAGCUGCUUCAACCAUAAUUUUGCUAAAUAUCGCUUAUAAUUAAUUAUUAUGAGUCAUCUAAGUGUAAAAAAUUUAAUCAUAUUUUUUUAAAAAAAAUAGACACAAAAUGAUAAAUUAACUCUUGAUGUAUUAAAUUAAGUUGACCUCCUUCAACCGUGAUUUUACUGUAUCACCCAUAAUUAAUUAUUAUUAGUCAUUUAUGUAUUAAAAUAUUCAUAUUAUUUAAUUAAAACAUUGGUUUCGACAUGGCUGCUUCAAGAGCUGCGCCGUAAUUUUACUAUAUCACCCCUAAUUAAUUAUUAUAAGUCAUUUAUGUAUUAGAAAAUUAAUAGUAUUUAAUUAAAACAAGAAAAAUAUGUGUUUAUGACAUGUUUGUUGCAGCUGUUUCAACCAUAAUUAUCUUUGAGAAGAUGAUCCAAGACUUUGUGUUAAUUGAAGUAUCUUUUGUUCCAGUUUUUAUAUGAAAUAAUCUUAUGAAUAUUAGUUCUACAUCUUUUCUAUAUUUUGUAGCAGGUCUCAAUUUUAUCAUCAAACAAUUAAAAUAACCCGACUACACGACACAUUACACCUUUUUAUCAUGUGGAAAAAAACUAUCUUAUAAAACUUCACUCCUUAGCGAGUACCAUCAAAUAGUUAUUAUUUAAAAAAUUAUCGUUUUAAAUCAAUGUACAUUUAUGUUUGUAUCUCAUCAAUAUUGAAUAUUGGUGCUAAAAGAUGUCUAUAGUGUUGGAUCCGUGCUGACACGGGCCAUGCACCUCUUGUAUAUAUAUAUAUAUAUUAUAUUAUAAUCUAUUUAAAGUGUGAAGGGCGUUAGAAAUGUCGCUUGAACUUUUUACCCUUCAUUAAAAGUCUUUUCUUUAGAUAAAAAUCAUAUUUUGACUAUUUUUUUUAAUUAUUUAAUAGUUAAAAAUCAAUUAAAUAUAUUUAUGAUAAACCUUUAAAACUUUUUAAGAAGAUUUAAAAAGUCUAUAAAUUUACAUCUACAAUAUAUUAAAUCCAUUAACCAUUUGAAAUUUGUGAUGAUAAAAUAUACAUGUGCUUAUAAUAAAAUAUAUAUUUUAAACUUUUUACAAUUCAUUAAAAAAAUUAUCUAAUUUUAAAUAAUCAAAAGUUAAUUGCACGUGCAGCUAAACUAGUAAUUAUACAAAUUUCCAUUGACAAAGUGAGGAGUAUAUUCUUUCAAAUCCUCUAACCAAUUUACAGCGGAGUUGGUAGUCCAAAAUAUUUCAAGAAAACUUGUUUCUCUUGUCUUGUUUCCUUUUAAACCCUUUUGUCCACUCUUUACAUUUCUACUACUCAAUUCAUUUGUUCACCAUAUAUUACCUGCCUUGUCUCCAUCUUUUCUCAACUGGGUAUGCCUUCAAAUUUCACCUAAUUCUGUGCUUUCUUUAGGGUUUCUCAUUGUUUUCAUUAAAUUCAAUCAUUCUUUUCUUUGUGGAUUUACUUUUUUAAGUGUGUUCUUUAUAUGAGAUCCCAAUUCACUUUGUGGGGUUUUUAGUAUUUGAUAAUUUUACUUUACUGUAAGUGAUAUUAUUAUACUUUGUUGCUUUGUUAGAAUUACUAGCAUCAUCUGUUUUCUUUGUGGGUUUUCUUUAAUUCUGCUUAUUGUGUACUCAUUUGGAUCUUCCUUGUUACUGUUUUUUUUGGUGGAACUUAGUGUUUGGAAUUUAGAUUUGUUGUGCCCUUAAAUAAGUGGUGUUUUUAGUUUGAACACACCCUUAACCAAACUACUCAUUCCUAGAAAACAAAGAUUGUUUUUACUAACUUAUCCUUGAUAAAUACUUUGGAAAAGAUAGUACUCUUUAGUAGUUUCUUGCUUAUUUAAAACUCUUUUUAUUUAAAAGAAGUUAAAAAUGAAGGAACAACAUGAAUGUCUUCUUGAUUAUCUAAAGUACUACUUAUUUGGGAAUAAAAUCAAAAGGCUGAAAACCACUUAAUUUAGGAAUGGAGGGAGUAGGCGGACAUUGAUUAUAAAAGUUGGCGUGAAUUUCCAGGUUCAGUUUGUGAUUCUGUUAGUUUUUAGUGCUUUCUUGAUUUACUUUUGCGUUUGUUCUGAAUCUUGAUAGAGGCAAUGUCGCAAGGCUAUGCUAUUGAGCUCUACUUUGAUCCUGCACUGGAAAACCAGGUCCUGAAGGCCUGGAAUGUAUUGGCUCGGCGCCAGAUUAGCACUCAGCUUAUUGAGAUUGAGUCUAGACCUCACAUUACCCUCUUCUCGAGUCCCAAUUUUGAUCCAUCAAAGCUUGAGAACAUUGUAAAGAAUUUUUCGUCCAAGCAAGAAUCUUUGCCUCUGUCCUUUGGUUCAAUUGGAAGCCUCCCAAGUGAUGACAAUGUUCUAUUUCUUGCCCCAACACCAACUUUGUCUCUACUUCAGUUCCACUCACAGCUGUUUGAUGCUAUGAAAAAGGAGGGCAUUGAGAUUGCAGAUGAGCAUCGUCCUGAUACGUGGAUUCCUUAUUGCCCGGUAGCUGAAGAGGUGCCUAAAACUCGUAUGGGGGAGGCAUUCACUGUUUUGAGGGAUCUGAAAUUACCUGUUGCUGGAUAUGCAAUGGAAAUUGCACUUGUCGAGUAUCCUCCAGUUCGUGAAGCAUUUUCUUUUGUGCUUGGUAAUACAGUUGAACCUUGAGGUUUCAGACAUGUAAUUGUGUUGAUUUUAGUUUAGGCUUUUACCUUUCAUAUCCUAUAUAGUUGCUCUUGUAGAACCUGAUAUAGAUGGUUAAGAGUGUUAUUAUCGUUGCUAAAUGGUCAUCUGCUUUGAUGAAAUAUUAAGUCAUUUCUGAUUCUUUCCUAUUGUUCGUACUUGCAUUGAGAUGUUGAUCUCUUAUGUCAGUGUUGGUGAUAAUAACAUGCUUAUUUUUUUUUCUUAUCUAUGGGAAGUCUCUGGUCGACCUCUAUUAGCAUAGAAAUUUUAUUUGCUUCUGUGUUCUAUCUUAUAAAUCAUGAACAUUGUUUGGCUUACGUGUUCUACUUUGUAAGUCUUGAAUGUGGUUCCUUUCAUUCAAAUGUAAUAUGUUUUAGUUCUUGUUAAGUUUAGCAAGUUCGAAUCAUGUGAGGUAAAUUUGCUUUUGUUAAAUAAUGUUGAGUAUAAAACUUGCUUGCGUUUAAAAAUGUUCACUUAUACAUUACUGCAGUACACCUUCUAAUUUGCAAGUCUCAAAGAUCAUGUGCUUUCUUUAGAUUGUAAUAUAUCCUGGUGCUUGUUGAAUUUAAUAUGAUUGAAUCAUGUGAGGGGAGUACAGAAGCUACCAGUUUUGUAUGGUUGGUAAAUCAAAUAGUAUUUGGAGAAAACAUGAGGCAGAGUUGAUUGAUGUACUAGCUGAAUAAACUGGAUAAAAGACAAGAACAGUCCAUUAUGUUUGACGUUGGUUUUGACUAACCCUUUUUUUUUUUUUUUUUUUUUUUUUUUUUUUUUUUUUUUUUUUUUUUUUUUUUUUUUUUUUUUUUUUUUUUUUUUUUUUUUUUUUUUUUUUUUUUUUUUUUUUUUUUUUUUUUUUUUUUUUUUUUUUUUUUUUUUUUUUUUUUUUUUUUUUUUUUUUUUUUUUUUUUUUUUUUUUUUUUUUUUUUUUUUUUUUUUUAAAAUCAUGG